Molecule: non-coding RNA, 74 nt
Organism: Pteropus alecto (black flying fox)
Lineage: Eukaryota; Metazoa; Chordata; Mammalia; Chiroptera; Pteropodidae
Source: Rfam
GGCUCCAUAGUGUAGUGGUUAGCAUGUCUGCUUUACACGCAGACGGUCCUGGUUUCGUGCCCCAGGUGGAGCCA